CCUACGGGUGGCAGCAGUGGGGAAUAUUGCACAAUGGGGGAAACCCUGAUGCAGCGACGCCGCGUGAGUGAAGAAGUAAUUCGUUAUGUAAAGCUCUAUCAGCAGGGAAGAAACUGACGGUAGCUGCGUAUGCAUCCCCGGCUAACUACGUGCCGGCAGCCGCGGUAAUACGUAGGGGGCAAGCGUUAUCCGGCUUUACUGGGUGUAAUGGGAGCGUAGACGGCAGUGCAAGUCUGGAGUGAAAGGCAGGGGCUCAACCCCCGGACUGCUCUGGAAACUGUACGGCUGGAGUGCAGGAGAGGCAAGUGGAAUUCCGAGUGUAGCGGUGAAAUGCGUAGAUAUUAGGAGGAACACCAGUGGCGAAGGCGGAUUACUGGACUGUAACUGACGUUGAGGCGCGAAAGCGUGGGGAGCAAACAGGAUUAGAUACCCUAGUAGUC
This 440-nucleotide ribosomal RNA is filed under the name uncultured bacterium. Its description in RNAcentral is "partial 16S ribosomal RNA". It matches the Rfam family "Bacterial small subunit ribosomal RNA", at positions 338 to 795 of the family's 1533-position model. The record is from RNAcentral.